Molecule: ribosomal RNA, 500 nt
Filed under: uncultured bacterium
Lineage: Bacteria
Description: bacterial SSU rRNA
Rfam family: Bacterial small subunit ribosomal RNA
Source: RNAcentral
GUGAAGAAGGCCUGCGGGUUGUAAAGCACUUUUAGUGGGGAUGAAAAGCCGAAGGCUAAUACCUUUCGGUCUUGACCUAACCCAAAGAAAAAGCACCGGCUAACUCUGUGCCAGCAGCCGCGGUAAUACAGAGGGUGCAAACGUUGUUCGGAAUUACUGGGCGUAAAGCGCGUGUAGGCGGCACUGUAGGUCGGAUGUGAAAUCCCGUGGCUCAACCAUGGAAGUGCAUUCGAAACCGCAGAGCUCGAGUAUCGGAGAGGAAGGUGGAAUGCUUGGUGUAGAGGUGAAAUUCGUAGAUAUCAAGCGGAACACCGGUGGCGAAGGCGGCCUUCUGGACGAUUACUGACGCUGAGACGCGAAAGCGUGGGUAGCAAACAGGAUUAGAUACCCUGGUAGUCCACGCCGUAAACGAUGAGUGCUAGGUGUCAGAGGCUUUGACCCUUCUGGUGCCGUAGUUAACGCGUUAAGCACUCCGCCUGGGGAGUACGGCCGCAAGGCUA